This 72-nucleotide transfer RNA is filed under the name Hymenolepis diminuta. RNAcentral's name for it is "tRNA-Pro". It matches the Rfam family "tRNA". Rfam says of the family: Transfer RNA (tRNA) molecules are approximately 80 nucleotides in length. Their secondary structure includes four short double-helical elements and three loops (D, anti-codon, and T loops). Further hydrogen bonds mediate the characteristic L-shaped molecular structure. tRNAs have two regions of fundamental functional importance: the anti-codon, which is responsible for specific mRNA codon recognition, and the 3' end, to which the tRNAs corresponding amino acid is attached (by aminoacyl-tRNA synthetases). tRNAs cope with the degeneracy of the genetic code in two manners: having more than one tRNA (with a specific anti-codon) for a particular amino acid; and 'wobble' base-pairing, i.e. permitting non-standard base-pairing at the 3rd anti-codon position. Lineage: Eukaryota; Metazoa; Platyhelminthes; Cestoda; Cyclophyllidea; Hymenolepididae. The record is from RNAcentral. RNAcentral also lists the same sequence under 1 other name.
GGCUCAGUGGUCUAGGGGUAUGAUUCUCGCUUUGGGUGCGAGAGGUCUCGGGUUCAAAUCCCGGCUGAGCCC